This 71-nucleotide transfer RNA is filed under the name Dipodomys ordii (Ord's kangaroo rat). It matches the Rfam family "tRNA". From Rfam's summary of the family: Transfer RNA (tRNA) molecules are approximately 80 nucleotides in length. Lineage: Eukaryota; Metazoa; Chordata; Mammalia; Rodentia; Heteromyidae. The record is from Rfam by way of RNAcentral.
GGGAAUAUGGCUUAGUGGUAGAGUGCUUGCCUAGCAUGCAUGAAGCCUGGGUUCAAUUCCUCAGUUUCACA